RNAcentral lists this ribosomal RNA (1330 nucleotides) under metagenome. Its description in RNAcentral is "bacterial SSU rRNA". It matches the Rfam family "Bacterial small subunit ribosomal RNA", at positions 8 to 1386 of the family's 1533-position model. The record is from RNAcentral.
AGAGUUUGAUCCUGGCUCAGGAUGAACGCUGGCGGCGUGCUUAACACAUGCAAGUCGAACGAACCUUCGGGUUAGUGGCGGACGGGUGAGUAACGCGUGAGAAUCUGCCCUCAGGAGGGGGAUAACGGCUGGAAACGGCCGCUAAUACCCCAUAUGCCGAGAGGUGAAAUGAAUUUCGCCUGAGGAUGAGCUCGCGUCUGAUUAGCUAGUUGGUGUGGUAAAGGCUCACCAAGGCAUCGAUCAGUAGCUGGUCUGAGAGGAUGAUCAGCCACACUGGGACUGAGACACGGCCCAGACUCCUACGGGAGGCAGCAGUGGGGAAUUUUCCGCAAUGGGCGCAAGCCUGACGGAGCAACGCCGCGUGAGGGAUGAAGGCCUCUGGGCUGUAAACCUCUUUUAUCAAGGAAGAAGAUCUGACGGUACUUGAUGAAUAAGCCACGGCUAAUUCCGUGCCAGCAGCCGCGGUAAUACGGGAGUGGCAAGCGUUAUCCGGAAUUAUUGGGCGUAAAGCGUCCGCAGGCGGUCUUGAAAGUCUGUUGUUAAAGCGUGGAGCUCAACUCCAUUUCAGCAAUGGAAACUAGAAGACUAGAGUGUGGUAGGGGCAGAGGGAAUUCCCGGUGUAGCGGUGAAAUGCGUAGAUAUCGGGAAGAACACCAGUGGCGAAGGCGCUCUGCUGGGCCAUAACUGACGCUCAUGGACGAAAGCCAGGGGAGCGAAAGGGAUUAGGUACCCCUGUAGUCCUGGCCGUAAACGAUGAACACUAGGUGUCGGGGGAAUCGACCCCCUCGGUGUCGUAGCCAACGCGUUAAGUGUUCCGCCUGGGGAGUACGCACGCAAGUGUGAAACUCAAAGGAAUUGACGGGGGCCCGCACAGGCGGUGGAGUAUGUGGUUUAAUUCGAUGCAACGCGAAGAACCUUACCAGGGUUUGACAUCCUGCGAAUCCCUUGGAAACUUGGGAGUGCCUUCGGGAGCGCAGUGACAGGUGGUGCAUGGCUGUCGUCAGCUCGUGUCGUGAGAUGUUGGGUUAAGUCCCGCAACGAGCGCAACCCACGUCUUUAGUUGCCAGCAUUAAGUUGGGCACUCUAGAGAGACUGCCGGUGAUAAACCGGAGGAAGGUGUGGAUGACGUCAAGUCAUCAUGCCCCUUACAUCCUGGGCUACACACGUACUACAAUGCUACGGACAAAGGGCAGCAAACUCGCGAGAGCUAGCAAAUCCCAUAAACCGUGGCUCAGUUCAGAUCGUAGGCUGCAACUCGCCUACGUGAAGGAGGAAUCGCUAGUAAUCGCAGGUCAGCAUACUGCGGUGAAUACGUUCCCGGGCCUUGUUC